RNAcentral lists this ribosomal RNA (534 nucleotides) under Colletotrichum gloeosporioides. RNAcentral's name for it is "eukaryotic LSU rRNA". The stretch from base 173 to 326 matches the Rfam family "5.8S ribosomal RNA". Lineage: Eukaryota; Fungi; Ascomycota; Sordariomycetes; Glomerellales; Glomerellaceae. The record is from RNAcentral.
CUUCUGAGCUACGCUCUACACCCUUUGUGACAUACCUACAACUGUUGCUUCGGCGGGUAGGGUCUCCGCGACCCUCCCGGCCUCCCGCCUCCGGGCGGGUCGGCGCCCGCCGGAGGAUAACCAAACUCUGAUUUAACGACGUUUCUUCUGAGUGGUACAAGCAAAUAAUCAAAACUUUUAACAACGGAUCUCUUGGUUCUGGCAUCGAUGAAGAACGCAGCGAAAUGCGAUAAGUAAUGUGAAUUGCAGAAUUCAGUGAAUCAUCGAAUCUUUGAACGCACAUUGCGCCCGCCAGCAUUCUGGCGGGCAUGCCUGUUCGAGCGUCAUUUCAACCCUCAAGCUCUGCUUGGUGUUGGGGCCCUACAGCCGAUGUAGGCCCUCAAAGGUAGUGGCGGACCCUCCCGGAGCCUCCUUUGCGUAGUAACUUUACGUCUCGCACUGGGAUCCGGAGGGACUCUUGCCGUAAAACCCCCCAAUUUUCCAAAGGUUGACCUCGGAUCAGGUAGGAAUACCCGCUGAACUUAAGCAUAUCAU